GGAGGGAGUUGCCAAGGAAGAAUUUGUGGCAGCUGAGGAUGUUGGCGAAGGCACCCCCAGCCUGCGCAAAUCUGUUCAGAACUUUAUCAGUUCGUUCUGGAUUAGGUUUGGGCGGGCUGAGGCGAAGAAGAUGGCGGAGGCUCACCGCGCUGAGGUACGUGUGACUUGGUUUUUGUUUUGUAUUCUGUUCUACUACGUUGUUACAUUUCUUAUGCCUGUUGUUUUGCAGGAGAUUGCC
Molecule: long non-coding RNA, 238 nt
Filed under: Sorghum bicolor (sorghum)
Lineage: Eukaryota; Viridiplantae; Streptophyta; Magnoliopsida; Poales; Poaceae
Description: long non-coding RNA (SBIC_LNC007432)
Source: RNAcentral